CAGCAGCCGCCGCGGGAAUACGAAGGGGGCUAGCGUUGCUCGGAAUUACUGGGCGUAAAGGGCGCGUAGGCGGCGCUCCAAGUUAGGCGUGAAAUUCCCGGGCUCAACCUGGGGACUGCGCUUAAGACUGGAGUGCUUGAGGAUGGAAGAGGGUUGUGGAAUUCCCAGUGUAGAGGUGAAAUUCGUAGAUAUUGGGAAGAACACCGGUGGCGAAGGCGGCAACCUGGUCCAUUACUGACGCUGAGGCGCGAUAGCGUGGGGAGCAAACAGGAUUAGAUACCCGAGUAGUCCCUGUCUCUUAUAC
Molecule: ribosomal RNA, 304 nt
Filed under: uncultured bacterium
Lineage: Bacteria
Description: partial 16S ribosomal RNA
Rfam family: Bacterial small subunit ribosomal RNA
Source: RNAcentral